CCUACGGGAGGCAGCAGUGGGGGAUAUUGCACAAUGGGGGGAACCCUGAUGCAGCGACGCCGCGUGGGUGAAGAAGCGCCUCGGCGCGUAAAGCCCUGUCAGCAGGGAAGAAAAUGACGGUACCUGAAGAAGAAGCCCCGGCUAACUACGUGCCAGCAGCCGCGGUAAUACGUAGGGGGCAAGCGUUAUCCGGAUUCACUGGGUGUAAAGGGGGCGCAGACGGCGAUGCAAGCCAGGAGUGAAAGCCCGGGGACCAACCCCGGGACUGCUCUUGGAACUGCGUGGCUGGAGUGCAGGAGGGGCAGGCGGAAGUCCUGGUGUAGCGGUGAAAUGCGUAGAUAUCAGGAGGAACACCGGUGGCGAAGGCGGCCUGCUGGACUACAACUGACGUUGAGGCCCGAAAGCGUGGGGAGCAAACAGGAUUAGAUACCCCAGUAGUC
This 440-nucleotide ribosomal RNA is filed under the name uncultured bacterium. RNAcentral's name for it is "partial 16S ribosomal RNA". It matches the Rfam family "Bacterial small subunit ribosomal RNA", at positions 338 to 795 of the family's 1533-position model. The record is from RNAcentral.